Molecule: long non-coding RNA, 322 nt
Organism: Andrographis paniculata
Lineage: Eukaryota; Viridiplantae; Streptophyta; Magnoliopsida; Lamiales; Acanthaceae
Exons: 4
Source: RefSeq, a predicted model, not a curated record
GCCGGAACAUCAAGAACUGAAUCAGAGUGUUGUGCGACAUCGACACCUUUGCCCGAUAAGAAGUUGUUAGCUGCUAUGUUUAUCAAGCUGCAAGAGAAGGAUGCUUACAGGCUUCCUGAUUAUUACGAUGUGGUAAAGCAGCCAAUAGACUUUGCAACUAUUCGGAAGAAGCUAAGGAAAACUGUUACAAGUGUUUGGAGGACUUGGAGGUUAUUAAUUGGUUCCGUAGAUUAAUUAAUAACUGUGGAGCUGCUAUUAUAACUAAUAAUGGGUGACAAUCAGUUGCUAUGUUGCAAUGCAAUAUUGUACAACAAAGCUUAUA